AAGAACAGUAGCAUCAAGUCACGUCUAGAUUCUGUGCUCAAAACAUCAAAGUUUCCAUGGUAACACUGUGUCUGAUUGUGUGGCAUAUCACUACUAAAGGCGAUGAAGCCAUUCAUUUUUAAAAACUUCAGAUUUGACUAUAAUAAGCCAAUAUUUUGGAAUAUCGCAACAGCUACAUCAUUCAACUGUAAAUACUAGAGAGCAAACUUCAAAAUGAGGAUGUAGAACAAGAGCCACAGAAUGUUCAAUCCUGAGCAGUUUAGUGAGCAGCGACCACCAGAAGAAAUUUUAAAGGACAGAAAUGACUAAGCAACUAUUUAAUUAAGAGAUUUUUCAGGGAAGCCCAGGAAGGUGCAUGUACCUGAUCUGCUGUGAGUAGAGGAUCCUCAUUAAUACCAGAGUCAUGUUCACUCUUCUCGUUAAGUUCUUCCUCCUCCUUCUCGUGGAUCUGAAGGGAAAAAGAAAACCCAAACUGCAUGCUGAUUCAGUAGCAGCUGAGAUUGCAUAACAUUUGCUAAAGCAGAAAGAAAGACUGCUGCUGCUGCUUCUGCAGAGUGGAUGCAGAAGAUUCCCGGGACCCACCUUUUAGAGGCAACACUGAUUCUUACAAAGUGUCCGACAUAAUGUCACAUUUCCCACCAUCAUGAACCACUGACUAGAAGGCUGCUGCUGCUACUGACCCACCGAGGAUGAAAGAAACUCAUAAGGAAAGCCAGAGAACAGCACUGCAGAGACCAGCUCAAUGGGAGAUCGGUGACUCAAGGGGGCAACAGAGUUCUACUUGGUCCUAUAAAGCUGCCAACUCUGACCUGGUUCUUGGGUCAACCCAACUCAACAGACUGAGCCGCUCUUGAACAGCUGCCCCAUUGACUCACUUCCUGUCUCCAGACCACCAGCUCUGACUUACACAAGGGCUGUCCUUAAACUAAUUCAGGCUAGAAAUAUUAUGCACAUGGUUAGCAGUUGUUUCUAUAAAGCCAUGGAAAACCCUGCCAUGCACAAGAUGGAGCAAUGGCAGAAAAGCCACGGAAGAGUCAAACGGGGAGAAAACCAGCCUCAAUAAGAGCACCAAUAACCACCCACAACAAGAACCUCAAGAUGUUUAGUUACAGCUGUGAUCCACGCACUUUUCCUUGGACAUUUUAUUCAUUAUAAACCACUGGUCAUGAACCCAGUCAUGGACUCAAUCGUG
Molecule: long non-coding RNA, 1192 nt
Organism: Hemicordylus capensis (graceful crag lizard)
Lineage: Eukaryota; Metazoa; Chordata; Lepidosauria; Squamata; Cordylidae
Exons: 4
Source: RefSeq, a predicted model, not a curated record